GGGCAGCACAGACACUAAAAUUGGAACGAUGCAGAGAAGGUUAGCACGACCCCUGAACAAGGAUAACAUGCAAAUUCAUGAAGCUUCCUCAUUUUUA
Molecule: small nuclear RNA, 97 nt
Organism: Lynx canadensis (Canada lynx)
Lineage: Eukaryota; Metazoa; Chordata; Mammalia; Carnivora; Felidae
Source: Ensembl